UGUGGACAAAAUGGGUUCUUCUAGACUCAUUAUUUUAUUGUGUUUGUAUCAUUCAUGGAGAGAAGUGCUCUGUAUUCUGACUGAACGUGCCUACCAUGUGUCUGAUUGGAGUGAUGCUGGGCAACUACUGCAAAAACACAAAGAUCUGUUCUCCGAUUGAACGUGUCUCCCAUGUGUCUGAUUGGAGUGAUGCUGGGCAACUACUGCAAAAACACAAAGGUUUGGUUGCAAAUUAUAUAUCUUCAUUAGCAUAAAUACAUACAUGCUCAGAUGAGUAUGAUGUUUUUAGUUACUGAGUUGUAUUAAAAUUGAAGAGAAAUUACUGUCGUUGUACUAUGUUGUCACCAAUGUGACUAACCGUUAUUAAAAUGUUCUCUAGGACGGACUGAACAUGACUAUUUUCACUUCCCUGAGAAACCUAGUUCAAGUGCUCAUGUGAAGUCAAGUUCUUCCGUUUUCCUUCCAAAAUCUACUAUAAAGGAAGACAGCUUUUUUUCUCCAACCCGUAAAAAAAAAUAAAAAAAAAUAAAACAAAUCUUGCUCUCUUCCC
Molecule: long non-coding RNA, 550 nt
Organism: Cyprinus carpio (common carp)
Lineage: Eukaryota; Metazoa; Chordata; Actinopteri; Cypriniformes; Cyprinidae
Source: Ensembl